Molecule: ribosomal RNA, 467 nt
Filed under: uncultured bacterium
Lineage: Bacteria
Description: bacterial SSU rRNA
Rfam family: Bacterial small subunit ribosomal RNA
Source: RNAcentral
AACACAUGCAAGUCGAACGAAGCAGUUAUCACGAUCCUUCGGGGUGACGAUUACUGACUGAGUGGCGGACGGGUGAGUAACGCGUGGGUAACCUACCUGUACAGGGGGACAACAGUUGGAAACGACUGCUAAUACCGCAUAAGCGCACAGCUUCGCAUGAAGCAGUGUGAAAAGUUUUUUCGGUACAAGAUGGACCCGCGUCUGAUUAGCUAGUUGGUGAGGUAACGGCCCACCAAGGCGACGAUCAGUAGCCGACCUGAGAGGGUGACCGGCCACAUUGGGACUGAGACACGGCCCAAACUCCUACGGGAGGCAGCAGUGGGGAAUAUUGCACAAUGGGCGCAAGCCUGAUGCAGCGAACCGCCGCGUGAGCGAAGAAGUAUUUCGGUAUGUAAAGCUCUAUCAGCAGGGAAGAUAAUGACGGUACCUGACUAAGAAGCACCGGCUAAAUACGUGCCAGCAGCUGC